Haemonchus contortus (barber pole worm) is the source of this 75-nucleotide non-coding RNA. The record is from Rfam. NCBI's taxonomy places the organism in Eukaryota, Metazoa, Nematoda, Chromadorea, Rhabditida, Trichostrongylidae.
GGCCAAAAUUUGGAGUAGAGUAGAAUAGAAGGAUGAUCUGACCCUACUCAUCUACUCUACUUCGAGUUUUGGCCC